Long non-coding RNA from Phyllostomus hastatus (greater spear-nosed bat), 870 nucleotides. RefSeq lists it as uncharacterized. NCBI's taxonomy places the organism in Eukaryota, Metazoa, Chordata, Mammalia, Chiroptera, Phyllostomidae. The transcript has 3 exons. The record is from RefSeq and is a predicted model, not a curated record.
GUGGCAGCCAGUCUCCCCCUCACCCUGGGUCUCCCUCCCACUCCUCUCUCAGGGCCCCAAGGACUCUGCCCCUGAAGACAUCCUGUGCUGAACUGCAGGCAAGGGAGCCUCUGAUGGUACUUGUCCAAGUGCCUUUGAAACAGUGUCCACCACGAAGCCCAUGACUUUCUGUUGGAGUGAAAUGGAGAAAGUUUUCUUUGCCUUCUGGAGAAAGGUUUUGGAAGAAAUUCUACUCCUUGGGUGUUCCUGGAUGCAAGGACAAGGGACCCCUGUGGUGUCAAUUCUCUACCGUGCCUUCUGGAGCAGUGGGGACACUGGCAGGACCCUUCCGCACUCCGUGCGUGACAGGAAAUCAGCAUGGAAACAGUAUUACAAUCCAAUCCACAGACCUGCUUCCAAUUCUGCCCGUUCUCCCACUAACACCUGUACAGCAGAAAACACAAGGAAGGAACCCACCUCUCAGGUAGGAGAGACCUUGCAGGCUCAAGCAGCAGGGGCAUGGAGGUGGGAGAGAAAGACGGGAGAGAGAGAGAUUUCCUUCUCCCUCUUCCCUCAGUGACUCAGGACCAAGUCCAGGAGGAAGUCCAGCCUUGAGGUGCCUGGUCUCUGGAGCUGGAGUUUUUGACUCCUGACACUGACCUUUCCCAACAACUUCCAGUUGAGAUUUUGUUGAAGAUGGCUCGUUUUGCCUUUGCUCCUAGUUCCUCAAGAAUGGAUGUCCUUGGUGUAUUUUGGGCAGGAUCGCCCCAGACAUGAUGCCAUGUUCUCUGUGUGACAUCAAGAGAGACGUGACAUGUGCCGCUUUCCUUCUCGUCCGACUGUGGCAGUACCUGCCAGGUCUGAACACCACACGUGCAGUUCCCCAGUAUU